AUGCCAAAUUAUUUUGUUUCCGGUACAAAUACCAAAUUACUUACGUAUUUUGUGAUGCUUCCCCGUGCUCUUUGCUCUCAUGAAACACCUAUGGGUGAGGCAAUAUAUUUCCACGUGUAUAUAUCGGCAUUGCUGUUUUCAAAAAUUGACAUUGAGGAUCUCUUUUACAUGUUUCUUCUACACCCUGCCGGGGGCUUAAUUGCCUUUCCUAUGAAUGAACAAAUGGCAAGACAUACAAAGCACAGUUCGGCACAUCUGAAUGACAGUUUUUGUACGUUAUACCUUUAUCCAUCUCACAGAUCCACCCUUCUAUCUACUGGAAAAUAUAUCAUUUUUCCUACUGCUAAGGCAAUCUAUCUACACACACUAUAUGGAUUAUUUUUACUUCAAACAGAGUACUCUAUGUAA
This 408-nucleotide ribosomal RNA is filed under the name Triticum aestivum (bread wheat). RNAcentral describes it as "partial small subunit ribosomal RNA". Lineage: Eukaryota; Viridiplantae; Streptophyta; Magnoliopsida; Poales; Poaceae. The record is from RNAcentral.